Phoenix dactylifera (date palm) is the source of this 1762-nucleotide non-coding RNA. NCBI's taxonomy places the organism in Eukaryota, Viridiplantae, Streptophyta, Magnoliopsida, Arecales, Arecaceae. The record is from RefSeq and is a predicted model, not a curated record.
AUUAGAUAACUCGAGAUAUCCCCUCAGCUGAGUCGCUUAUACCCUUGCCUGGAUUUGGCAGCGGCGUCCGGUCGCUUUCCUUGUCCCCAACUGCCAUAAACUAAGUCGACAGUCUCUUCCCUCCUAUUGAGACCUCUCCUCUCUUCCGUUCCUCAUAAAAUGGGUAGGUUUUUCCUUGUAUGUGUGGUGGCAAGCCAAGAGAAAAAAAAGUCUCUUAUUCUUCUGUCUUUGAUUUGGUUACUGUGGAUUGUGUUGUCUUUGUUUUACCUCCUUGUUGUUUUGGGCAGGCACGUGCUUUGCUUGUUGAGAGACGGGAAUUAGGGUUUGGAGGGGAAGCCGGAACGGCAGCCACCAACCAUUAGGCUUUCUGAGUUCAAGGAUCUUUGGAGGUUUAUCUAUCACUCGGAAGAAAAUGGGAAGAUCUCUCUCUCUCUCUCUCUCUCUCUCUCUCUCUCGCUCCCCCCCCCCCCCCCCCCCCCCUAAGAUUUGCUUAGCUUCAAGUUCAUCUACAUUGCUUUGCGAUUUUAUUGAUCUAUUUGUGGAUGUAGCUGUAUUGUUGGAGGAUUUGGUUCUCCCACAGGUGAUCGUGGUCUUCUGUUCCCUCUGAAAUAUGUGGAUUAUCUAGUUGAUCCGCUCUUUCUUCCCUGGGAGAAAAAAGGUUGGGCUUAUUUAUAAGGAGAGCACGUCGCCUCUUGAUUUUUUAUUUUUUUGAGCAAUAUACAGGAUUAAAAUCCCGGACCUUAUUCUCCAAGGGCAAGCCCUUAAGGGAGAGGUUCCAACCAACUGAGCAAACAGUUGUUGACCUCCAUUUUUUUGAUUUGAUGUUCCAGUUGUAAUGGUUUAAAGAGGUGUAGAAGAUGCGAGGUAGGCAAUUCUUCUAUUAUUUUUGGAUAUUUUGUUGGUUACGGUUUGAACUUUUCUUUGAAUGACAACUUGAAUAAUAGAUUGAAGUUAGAAUCAUGCUUGACGAUUAUUUAUUGUUUGUUUUGGGCUUUUGGUUUUCCAACUUUUUGGGAUAUUAUAUAUCAAUUUUUCUGAAACCACUAUCUUAUAUGAAUUUGCAAUCAGCAAUAAGGCCUCAACAUAAAGCCGCCGGAAGUGUCUUUCUUCCUCCAUUACUCAAAAAAAAAGGGAGUAACAAAAAGGCCUAAACAUGCUAUGUUUUUCAGAGAUCCUAAAGACCUUUUCUACAAGGCUCAGGUGCUUAAGAUCAUGGCCGACCAGCCUUCUGAGAUGGUCGGAUCCCUCUCUCCCAAGCUUUCUCUUUGGGAGAUGUCUAGGGUGCAAACCUUGGUGGGGACAUUGCCACCAUAUUUCUCAGAACAAAAACGGGCAUCCUCUUCUUGUUUCUGCCACUCCGUGAAAUGUGUGUUGAAGGGGGAGGAAAGAGUAACAGUCACCAAAACUAGUGCUUUUUUGUUUCCAGUCUCAUCUUUGGAGAUUUUUAAAAGGUCUAACUUUAGUAUUUCUUCUGUUGCAGGUCUGAAAAAGGUUGAGGAGGGACUGAGUUACUGUUCUGGUCUACAGUGGAAGUACAUCACUUCAGGGCCAUGGUUUUGUUAAUCUCGAGCUGAUGCCUGUCUUUUUUUUGCUGAUACCUGUGCUGCAUAAAGUUCUUUAUGAACAAUGCUUUUUCUUUCACACAUCUAUAAAUCAAUGCACUCCUCCCUAUGUGUCCCUCGCCUGGACAUCUCUCUCUCUUAAACAUUGCCUUGAAUGUUGCGAACAUAAAUGGUUAUUUUUAUGUGUAGAUUAUGUGGUA